RNAcentral lists this small RNA (117 nucleotides) under Pongo abelii (Sumatran orangutan). RNAcentral describes it as "Metazoan signal recognition particle RNA (ENSPPYG00000038487.1)". It matches the Rfam family "Metazoan signal recognition particle RNA". From Rfam's summary of the family: The signal recognition particle (SRP) is a universally conserved ribonucleoprotein. It is involved in the co-translational targeting of proteins to membranes. The record is from Rfam by way of RNAcentral. Lineage: Eukaryota; Metazoa; Chordata; Mammalia; Primates; Hominidae.
GCCGGGCGCGGUGGCCCACGCCUGUAAUCCCAGCAUUUUGGGAGGCCGAGACGGGUGGAUUGCUUGAGGUCAGGAGUUCGAGACCAACCUGACCAACAUAGCGAAAACCCGUCUCUA